RNAcentral lists this long non-coding RNA (478 nucleotides) under Mustela putorius furo (domestic ferret). RNAcentral describes it as "lncRNA (ENSMPUG00000028205.1)". Lineage: Eukaryota; Metazoa; Chordata; Mammalia; Carnivora; Mustelidae. The record is from RNAcentral.
UGAGGAGAUACCCUGAAGCUAGACUGCAUGCUCCAGCACCACCUCCUCCAAGGUCCAAGCAAGAGCCACCCAACUGAGCCUCAGCCAAUCCACAGAAUGUUUCUCAGGAAGAGUCUACUGCUGGAGUGGUGGCGCACAGAAAACCCACAGUUCCUGAGGAAGCGUCGCUGCUGGAAUCCCGUGGGAAAAUCUGACCUCGCCAGGGCCAAGAAUGGCAGACUGAAAUUCUAGUAGACUUGAGCCAUGUGAUAAACUGCUUUGCUCUGGAAAGAAGAGAGUGCUGCACAAAGACCGAUGGACUGAUAUGCAGGAAACAUCCCCUCUCAGUGGGAGAGGACUGGCUUUCUUGAGCAUCUGUAUGCAUAGAGCUGCUGCUGCUCCAUUCAUAUGAAGAGGCCUCCACUGAGAGUCACUUUCUAUUAGACUGCUUGGAUGUUCCACAUGUUGCCAAAUACAGUAGAAUUUAAAAGCUGUAUUG